UGUGUGCAUUUUUUAAAUGAAUUAUACUGAUGUAAUAUGGCUGCAAGGCAUCUUUCAAAUGCACAAUUGGAAACAUUGGCUUAUUGAUCAGAUAUGUAAGUUCAGGCAUCAUCAAGACAACCGGCAGAAGAAAGGAAAAUGGUGAAGCUUUAAAUAGCAUGAGCUCAAAUUUUCAUCAGGAUGGUUUUUUUGUUUUUUAUACUUCUGGCAAAUUUUGCAUCCAUCAGGGUUUUUUUGAGAUCACAGUGUGAGAAACCAGAUACUCACCGUCUACUCCAAUUCUGCCAUCACUGUUAUCAUCAGCUGCUGAGAUGAAACUCUUGGUUUCUGCUUCGGUCAGGGUCCGCGCCCCGG
Non-coding RNA from Oryzias latipes (Japanese medaka), 354 nucleotides. Lineage: Eukaryota; Metazoa; Chordata; Actinopteri; Beloniformes; Adrianichthyidae. The record is from RefSeq and is a predicted model, not a curated record.